This 468-nucleotide ribosomal RNA is filed under the name uncultured bacterium. Its description in RNAcentral is "partial 16S ribosomal RNA". It matches the Rfam family "Bacterial small subunit ribosomal RNA", at positions 28 to 507 of the family's 1533-position model. The record is from RNAcentral.
GACGAACGCUGGCGGCGUGCUUAACACAUGCAAGUCGAACGGAAAGGCCCUGCUUUUGUGGGGUGCUCGAGUGGCGAACGGGUGAGUAACACGUGAGUAACCUGCCCUUGACUUUGGGAUAACUUCAGGAAACUGGGGCUAAUACCGGAUAGGAGCUCCUGCUGCAUGGUGGGGGUUGGAAAGUUUCGGCGGUUGGGGGUGGACUCGCGGCUUAUCAGCUUGUUGGUGGGGUAGUGGCUUACCAAGGCUUUGAAGGGUAGCCGGCCUGAGAGGGUGACCGGCCACAAUGGGACUGAGAUACGGCCCAGACUCCUACGGGAGGCAGCAGUGGGGAAUAUGGCACAAUGGGCGGAAGCCUGAUGCAGCAACGCCGCGUGCGGGAUGACGGCCUUCGGGUUGUAAACCGCUUUCGCCUGUGACGAAGCGUGAGUGACGGUAAUGGGUAAAGAAGCACCGGCUAACUACGUG